CCUACGGGUGGCAGCAGUGGGGAAUAUUGCACAAUGGGCGCAAGCCUGAUGCAGCCAUGCCGCGUGUGUGAAGAAGGCCUUCGGGUUGUAAAGCACUUUCAGCGGGGAGGAAGGCGUUAAGGUUAAUAACCUUGGCGAUUGACGUUACCCGCAGAAGAAGCACCGACUAACUCCGUGCCAGCAGCCGCGGUAAUACGGAGGGUGCAAGCGUUAAUCGGAAUUACUGGGCGUAAAGCGCACGCAGGCGGUCGGUCAAGUCGGAUGUGAAAUCCCCGGGCUCAACCUGGGAACUGCAUUCGAAACUGGCAGGCUCGAGUCUUGUAGAGGGGGGUAGAAUUCCAGGUGUAGCGGUGAAAUGCGUAGAGAUCUGGAGGAAUACCGGUGGCGAAGGCGGCCCCCUGGACAAAGACUGACGCUCAGGUGCGAAAGCGUGGGGAGCAAACAGGAUUAGAUACCCCUGUAGUC
This 465-nucleotide ribosomal RNA is filed under the name uncultured Klebsiella sp. RNAcentral describes it as "bacterial SSU rRNA". It matches the Rfam family "Bacterial small subunit ribosomal RNA", at positions 338 to 795 of the family's 1533-position model. Lineage: Bacteria; Pseudomonadati; Pseudomonadota; Gammaproteobacteria; Enterobacterales; Enterobacteriaceae. The record is from RNAcentral.